Molecule: ribosomal RNA, 567 nt
Filed under: uncultured Bacillus sp.
Lineage: Bacteria; Bacillati; Bacillota; Bacilli; Caryophanales; Bacillaceae
Description: bacterial SSU rRNA
Rfam family: Bacterial small subunit ribosomal RNA
Source: RNAcentral
GGGCCCUACGGGAGGCAGCAGUAGGGAAUCUUCCGCAAUGGACGAAAGUCUGACGGAGCAACGCCGCGUGAGUGAUGAAGGUUUUCGGAUCGUAAAGCUCUGUUGUUAGGGAAGAACAAGUGCAAGAGUAACUGCUUGCACCUUGACGGUACCUAACCAGAAAGCCACGGCUAACUACGUGCCAGCAGCCGCGGUAAUACGUAGGUGGCAAGCGUUGUCCGGAAUUAUUGGGCGUAAAGGGCUCGCAGGCGGUUUCUUAAGUCUGAUGUGAAAGCCCCCGGCUCAACCGGGGAGGGUCAUUGGAAACUGGGAAACUUGAGUGCAGAAGAGGAGAGUGGAAUUCCACGUGUAGCGGUGAAAUGCGUAGAGAUGUGGAGGAACACCAGUGGCGAAGGCGACUCUCUGGUCUGUAACUGACGCUGAGGAGCGAAAGCGUGGGGAGCGAACAGGAUUAGAUACCCUGGUAGUCCACGCCGUAAACGAUGAGUGCUAAGUGUUAGGGGGUUUCCGCCCCUUAGUGCUGCAGCUAACGCAUUAAGCACGCGGACAUCGUUAGUAUAAUUAUGU